GGGGAAUAUUGCGCAAUGGGGGAAACCCUGACGCAGCAAUACCGCGUGAGUGAAGAAGGUUUUCGGAUCGUAAAGCUCUGUUAUUGGGGAAGAAAAAAAGACGGUACCCAAGAAGAAAGUCCCGGCUAACUACGUGCCAGCAGCCGCGGUAAUACGUAGGGGACAAGCGUUGUCCGGAUUUACUGGGCGUAAAGGGCACGCAGGCGGUUUUUUAAGUCAGAUGUGAAAGGUACCGGCUCAACCGGCGACAUGCAUUUGAAACUGAAAGACUUGAGUAUUGGAGAGGCAAGUGGAAUUCCGAGUGUAGAGGUGAAAUUCGUAGAUAUUCGGAAGAACACCAGUGGCGAAGGCGGCUCACUGGCUCGUAACUGACGCUGAGGUGCGAAAGCGUGGGGAGCAAACA
RNAcentral lists this ribosomal RNA (403 nucleotides) under uncultured Acetobacterium sp. Its description in RNAcentral is "bacterial SSU rRNA". It matches the Rfam family "Bacterial small subunit ribosomal RNA", at positions 356 to 774 of the family's 1533-position model. The record is from RNAcentral. Lineage: Bacteria; Bacillati; Bacillota; Clostridia; Eubacteriales; Eubacteriaceae.